UUUUUUUUUUUUUUGAGGCGAAAAGCGAAAAUAUUGUUAUAAAUCAGAAAGAGCAAUAUCUUGAAGCCAAGUUGGGAAACCCGACUUCCAGAUCAUUACAUCGGGAACAGAAAAAGCAAAACGAGCAAGCUCAUGGGCCGCUCUAUUAGCUUCACGCCUAGCAUGAAAGAAUUCGAGCACCACACUGUCCCUCGCCUGUUGAAGCACCUCCCAGAUCUCAUCACAAAGGGAUUCAGUGCCCCGGGAUCCGUCUUGAAGCAAGUGAGUAGCAAUAAGAGAGUCCGAAUAAAGAACUACUGGGCCGAAGUCAUUCUCCAGACAAAAAUCAAUCGCAAGCAUCAUUACCUUAAGUUCUCCGAGUAACACCGUUGGGGUAUAGCCGAUACGCUGGCAGGCUGCUGCGACAAUCGAGCCCCCUGAAUCGCGAAGAAUGAAACCGGCUCCCAGCCGCUGCCCCCCUUCGUCAAAAGCAACGUCGACAUCGAGUCGGAGAACACCUUGUGGAGGAGGGUACCAUCGUCGCUCUCCCUCAAGAGGUAGAACUCGACCUGGGAUGAGUGUGUGCGUCCGCACUUUCUUGUACUCUUCCAGUUGAAGUCGGCAAUCUUGCAAAUCCACUUUUGCAUUCUCAAGAGUCGG
This 639-nucleotide long non-coding RNA is filed under the name Salvia miltiorrhiza (redroot sage). RNAcentral's name for it is "long non-coding RNA (SMIL_LNC006869)". Lineage: Eukaryota; Viridiplantae; Streptophyta; Magnoliopsida; Lamiales; Lamiaceae. The record is from RNAcentral.